AGAGUUUGAUCCUGGCUCAGGAUGAACGCUGGCGGUCUGCUUAACACAUGCAAGUCGAACGCAACCUUCGGGUUGAGUGGCGGACGGGUGAGUAACGCGUGAGAAUCUGCCUUGGGGUCGGGGACAACCACUGGAAACGGUGGCUAAUACCGGAUAAGCCAAUUGGUAAAAGAUUUAUUGCCCUAAGAGGAGCUCGCGUCUGAUUAGCUAGUUGGUGAGGUAAGAGCUCACCAAGGCAGCGAUCAGUAGCUGGUCUGAGAGGACGAUCAGCCACACUGGGACUGAGACACGGCCCAGACUCCUACGGGAGGCAGCAGUGGGGAAUUUUCCGCAAUGGGCGAAAGCCUGACGGAGCAAGACCGCGUGAGGGAGGAAGGCUCUUGGGUUGUAAACCUCUUUUCUCAGGGAAGAAGCUCUGACGGUACCUGAGGAAUAAGCCUCGGCUAACUCCGUGCCAGCAGCCGCGGUAAUACGGAGGAGGCAAGCGUUAUCCGGAAUUAUUGGGCGUAAAGCGUCCGCAGGUGGCGAUUCAAGUCUGCUGUCAAAGCACGGGGCUUAACUCCGUUAAGGCAGUGGAAACUGAAUAGCUAGAGUGCCGUAGGGGUAGAGGGAAUUCCCGGUGUAGCGGUGAAAUGCGUA
RNAcentral lists this ribosomal RNA (639 nucleotides) under uncultured bacterium. Its description in RNAcentral is "bacterial SSU rRNA". It matches the Rfam family "Bacterial small subunit ribosomal RNA", at positions 8 to 692 of the family's 1533-position model. The record is from RNAcentral.